Molecule: ribosomal RNA, 1020 nt
Filed under: uncultured organism
Description: bacterial SSU rRNA
Rfam family: Bacterial small subunit ribosomal RNA
Source: RNAcentral
CGUAACGCGUAUAGAACCUACCCUUUACAGGGGGAUAGCCCGGAGAAAUUCGGAUUAAUACCCCAUAGUAAUAUUUUGUGGCAUCACAGAGUAUUUAAAGUUUCGGCGGUAGAGGAUGGCUAUGCGUCUUAUUAGUUAGUAGGUGAGGUAACGGCUCACCUAGACAGCGAUAAGUAGGGGCCCUGAGAGGGGGAUCCCCCACACUGGUACUGAGACACGGACCAGACUCCUACGGGAGGCAGCAGUGAGGAAUAUUGGACAAUGGUCGAGAGACUGAUCCAGCCAUGCCGCGUGCAGGAAGACGGCCUUACGGGUUGUAAACUGCUUUUAUACGGGAAGAAUAAUACCCACGUGUGGGUAGAUGACGGUACCGUAAGAAUAAGGACCGGCUAACUCCGUGCCAGCAGCCGCGGUAAUACGGAGGGUCCGAGCGUUAUCCGGAAUUAUUGGGUUUAAAGGGUCCGCAGGCGGGUCAGUAAGUCAGGGGUGAAAGUUUGCGGCUUAACCGUAAAAUUGCCUUUGAUACUGCUGGUCUUGAGUUGCGGUGAAGUGGCUGGAAUAUGUGGUGUAGCGGUGAAAUGCAUAGAUAUCACAUAGAACACCGACUGCGAAGGCAGGUCACUAACCGCCGACUGACGCUGAUGGACGAAAGCGCGGGGAGCGAACGGGAUUAGAUACCCCGGUAGUCCACGCCGUAAACGAUGGACACUAGCUGUCGGGCCUAUUGUAGGUUCGGUGGCUAAGCGAAAGUGAUAAGUGUCCCACCUGGGGAGUACGUCGGCAACGAUGAAACUCAAAGGAAUUGACGGGGGCCCGCACAAGCGGUGGAGCAUGUGGUUUAAUUCGAUGAUACGCGAGGAACCUUACCAGGGCUUAAAUGUAGUGGGACAGGCUUAGAGAUAGGCUUUUCUUCGGACUCAUUACAAGGUGCUGCAUGGUUGUCGUCAGCUCGUGCCGUGAGGUGUCAGGUUAAGUCCUAUAUCGAGCGCAACCCUACCGUUAGUUGCCAGUGAGUAAAGU